GCCGCAGCACGCGGCGCCGGCAUCGAGCGAAGCAAUGAUGCAUUCGCGAGAGGGAACCCGGUGAAAAUCCGGGACUGUCCCGCAGCGGUAUGCAGGAACGACCGCCGUCAUAUAGCACUGGGCCUCACAGAUCUGAGACUGGGAAGCGACGGCCAGUAGGAGCACCCACCGGGUGCGUGCCUGUGAGUCCGAAGACCUGCCAGCUGUGCCGGGCGCGC
This 218-nucleotide non-coding RNA is filed under the name Mycobacterium sp. Lineage: Bacteria; Bacillati; Actinomycetota; Actinomycetes; Mycobacteriales; Mycobacteriaceae. The record is from RNAcentral.